This 79-nucleotide transfer RNA is filed under the name Mycobacteroides abscessus. RNAcentral's name for it is "tRNA-Thr(tgt)". The record is from RNAcentral. Lineage: Bacteria; Bacillati; Actinomycetota; Actinomycetes; Mycobacteriales; Mycobacteriaceae. RNAcentral also lists the same sequence under 2 other names.
CCAGAUGGUGCGAGCAGGACGCAGGUCGGUUACCACUUGUAAUGGAGAGGUCGCGGGUUCGAGUCCCGCCAGCCAGCCC